GACGAACGCUGGCGGCGUGCUUAACACAUGCAAGUCGAACGGAAAGGCCCUUUCGGGGGUACUCGAGUGGCGAACGGGUGAGUAACACGUGGGUGAUCUGCCCUGCACUUCGGGAUAAGCUUGGGAAACUGGGUCUAAUACCGGAUAGGACUACGGACUGCAUGGUCUGUGGUGGAAAGCUUUUGCGGUGUGGGAUGGGCCCGCGGCCUAUCAGCUUGUUGGUGGGGUGAUGGCCUACCAAGGCGACGACGGGUAGCCGGCCUGAGAGGGUGUCCGGCCACACUGGGACUGAGAUACGGCCCAGACUCCUACGGGAGGCAGCAGUGGGGAAUAUUGCACAAUGGGCGCAAGCCUGAUGCAGCGACGCCGCGUGGGGAUGACGGCCU
Molecule: ribosomal RNA, 386 nt
Filed under: uncultured bacterium
Lineage: Bacteria
Description: bacterial SSU rRNA
Rfam family: Bacterial small subunit ribosomal RNA
Source: RNAcentral